RNAcentral lists this ribosomal RNA (407 nucleotides) under uncultured bacterium. RNAcentral describes it as "bacterial SSU rRNA". It matches the Rfam family "Bacterial small subunit ribosomal RNA", at positions 355 to 776 of the family's 1533-position model. The record is from RNAcentral.
UAGGGAAUAUUGCACAAUGGAGGAAACUCUGAUGCAGCGACGCCGCGUGAGUGAUGAAGGCCUUCGGGUCGUAAAGCUCUGUCGUAUGGGACUAACAAAAUGAAGGUACCAUGCAAGAAAGGAUCGGCUAACUUCGUGCCAGCAGCCGCGGUAAGACGAGGGAUCCUAGCGUUGUUCGGAAUUAUUGGGCGUAAAGCGGGUGUAGGUGGACUUAUAAGUCAGGUGUGAAAUCCCAGGGCUCAACCCUGGAAGUGCACUUGAUACUGCAAGUCUUGAGUGUGGUAGAGGCUAUUAGAAUUCUUGGUGUAGUGGUGAAAUACGUAGAUAUCAAGAGGAAUACCGGAGGCGAAGGCGGAUAGCUGGGCCAACACUGACACUGAGACCCGAAAGCGUGGGGAUCAAACAGG